AAUGAUUCCAUACGAUCUCUUCAAAAUCUGCCACCUUUUCCAAAUAAUGUUUCAGAUAUCAGCAACCAAAUAAUUUCAGCGAUUCCAGCCGGCUUUUUCAUUUUGACGAGUGUGGCGCUGCUGCACAUCGCCAAAAAAAUGAAAUGCAGAUGAAAGUGCCUCACAAAAGCCAAGAAUGAGAUGAAAAAGGCAGAACGAAGGCAGUAGGAAGAGAAAAGGAAAGAACAAAGUGCCACUUUGAUAAUAACCAGUGUGAGCUUGAACUAGUCCGUUUAUUUAUUGAGUAUUUAUUUGAUAUAUUUUAGGCGAAGCGUGUAUUUUGAUAGCUGUCAUAGAUUAGUGGAAAUAGGUUGUGCAAAACAACGCUUAUUAUAAAUUAUUGCUAAGGCUUAUUUUGUUUGUUUUAUGAGGCAGAAUUAUUGAUGAUCCAAUUCAAAAGGUAAUAGUUGGAAAAUUUAAAUUCUAGGAUUCGAUUCAUAAGGUUAACUGCCCAUUAGUUUGCAAAUACACAUUUCAAGAUUUGUUCCAAAAGGUAAUAGAUAAGGUUCUGUUAGUUUGAAAACUGCAAUUUUAGGAUCCGAUUCAAAAGGUCAACUGCCCAUUAGUUUGCAAAUAUACAUCUCAAGAUUCGUUUAUUAUAAAUUAUUGCUAAGGCUUAUUUUGUUGGGUUUAUGAGGCAGAAUAAUUAUGGUUAAUCCAUUUCAAAAGGUAAUAGUUUGAACAUUUAAAUUUUAGGAUUCGAUUCAAAAGGUUAACUGCCCAUUAGUUUGCAAAUAUACAUUUCAAGACUCGUUUCAAAAGAUAAUAGAUAAGGUUCUGUUAGUUUGAAAACUGAAAAGUUAGGAUUCUAUUCAAAAGAUUAAAUGACCAUUAGUUUGCAUAUAUACAUCUCAAGAUUCGUUUCAAAAGGUAAUUGAUAAUUGUUUGUUAAGCCAGGUUUACACGUGGGUGGGCCAUGUGAGUCAUGUUUCUUUUACCGUCCUUAUAGUUUAUAUUAGAUUGAACGUAACUUGGCAAAUACAUGAUGUGUUCAUCAUAAGUUUGUAAAGGUCUGUUUAAACAGGUAGAAUUUAUAAGGACGGAAAAAGAAGCAUUUUGUAGUUAACUCUGGUGUAAACGUGGCUCAAAUUGAAAAAAUUAACGUUAGGUUAAUAAAAGAAAUUGGAUUGAUUAAUGCCCGUAUGCAGAUAGGCUCAACUCACACUUAAGCGAUUCAGGUCGAGAAGAGACUCGACUCUAGUCGAGAGCAUGUGUUUCCAAGUGUCACUCAGACCAAUCGAUUCUAGUUUCGAGUUGAGCCAUACUCAGUUAAACGGAGAUAUGUCAGCUGUUCGUUUAAACCCCGAAUUUAAACGUGGUUUAGCGUUAAACGUUGGUGCAUAUGGCCGUUAUACAGUCGAAAAUUUAAAUGUAAGGUUCAGUUGAUUUCAAACUAUAAAUUCCAAAAGUUGAAAGAAUGUUCGUAUAAGUUGAUUUUAAAGCAGAAAAUUUUAAAUUUCAAGAUUUGAAAGAUUUAUGCCUGGUUGCAGUGUCGUCACAUAAAGUUAAAAACAGGCAAUUAACUCAUUUACGAAGCCAUAAAUUCACUUUCUGUUGCACAGAUGACAAAGUAAACUAUAGCUCCCAUAAAAAUAAAAACGCCCAAUUAGACACAUGAUUUCGUUGCACAGUCGUCAGAAAGAGCUUAUUUAUGUCUCCAAUAGCUAAAAACGGUCAGUCAAGUUAUGGGCCCGAAGUCGUGCUGUCCCGCCAAAUACAUUUUAGAGGUUGUGUUAGCUUUUUUUUGAAAGAUGUUUACGAAAAUCCAUCUGUAUAUAAGUAAAUUAUUUUUUCUCUCCCUAUGUUUUUUCAAGUUGUUUAUAGCCUCCAAAUCGCUAAAUAUGGUGAGAAAACUCGCCAAAAGCCAAGAGUCACCACAUUGUUCAUCAAUUUUAUGUGAGGUCUUUUAGGUCUGUUCACAGUGAUGUCGAUUGAAACUUUCCCGAUUCCAAGACAUUAGUUGGAUAGAAGUGUAUACGGAAAAACGUUAAUAGAUCUACAGUGUGACUUAUGUGUGAUGCUAAUUUGAGAUAUAGCUAAAUGGGCUUCGGCAAUGACCAACCAUUUAUGUCAGUGAUUUUAAACUAUGUCUCACUUAGCUAUAUUUGAUUUUAUGUAACAACUCUGCAACCGGGCAUUAGUUUUGUUUUUAGCAGAGUUUGUACAAAGAUUGAUCAGCAAAGUGAAAUUAAGUUUAAACGAUUAGCACUCGUUGAAUUGAAAUAAUAAUUGAUGUUAUUUAUAAGGAAUGUUAGAAGUUUGAAGAGGAUAUCACUUUGAGAAGCCUAUUAUUGUUAUCUUAACUUGAAAUAAUCGUAGUUGAGAAUAAAUAAAAAAUAUAACAGUUUCAAGAAAACAAUGAAAUAUCAUACCAAGCAUUCAUUUAAUCGCUAGAUAAAUCAAAUUAUAACUUUGGUGAUAGAUUCAUUUGAAACUGUCAGCAUUGGAUAAAUGGGAAGCAUUGAUGCUAUUCAUUGAGGAAUGCUGACAGUUUCAAGUAAAUCUCACACUAUGAAAAAUUGAAAAUACUUGAAAUACUAAAAUGAAUUAUUAGAUUUGCGAUUGAGUUCUGUUAAAUAUCUGUUUGUAGGUUACUAAUAAUACAUUAAACUCAAUAAUUAUAUGGUGCAGUUUAAUAGAAUAUAAUAGAAGAAUACAGUAGUUUCGGCCAUUUUUUCUGUUAAAUUGGAAGAAGUUUUUGUAGAAUUGUUUUGUUUAACAAAAAAAAAAUUAUAAAAGAUGUAGUUAUCAGUGUAGUUCAAAUUCUUCAAAAAAUCAGUUUUGAAGAGUUGAAUUUCUAUGAAAUUUCCUUGUAUUUGGAUAAGAUUUGAAUUAUUACUCUUGUUUUCUAUAAAAAAUAAUUGUGUGUAAAAAAUAAAACCACAAUUAAUAAUUAAAGUGUACAGGUUGCGGUAUAUUUAUAAUUUCCAAAAAAAUUGGUACCAAUUUUACAAGUUAUACAAAAUUGAUACAAUACGGUACAGUAAUUCAUAUAUUUCAUAACAAUAUGUAGGCUCAUUCCAAAUUUUAAAUUCACGAUAUUAUAAUGAUGUGAGAAAUAUUUUGAAUAAUAGUAUCUUACGUCACAAGGACGGGAAGGGGCCUUUUGCAGGCGAGAACGAUGUUUCUAGUCGAGGCAUUAGCCGAGCACUGCAAAAGACAUUCAGGUCCAAGUAACGUACACUAUUUUUUGUCAUAAUAAUCUAAAGAAGAGUAAUUGAGAAAUAGAAAACAUUACCUGCUUGUGCUGAAGUUACUACAUGCAUUCUAUAAGCAUAACCUAGUUUACAAAUUCUGAAUUUUGUGGAAGUUGACAAAACUUCCACCUGGAGUGCUGAAGGUGUUUUUUGUAGCAGUUUUGCUGUUCCUAUUUCGGAACUAGGAAGCUGUAAAGAAAACAUAUGGUUUCAUUACAGUAGAGUAUGCUGUAAUGAGAAUCAUAUGUUUUUUGUUCUGCAAACAGCGUUUUACCGACUUGAUUUCAUGCAUGAGCUGAGAUUGAAUGACUAUGACAAAAAAUUAUAAACAUUUUUUGGUUGAUGGAAUCUCUUAGCGGAGGCUAGCUUAGCUGAAAAUUUCGCAUCGAAUUGCCAAUUUUGAAACUUGAUUUUUUUCAAAUAUUUUGUUCGAUUGAUAAAUCAAGGGGCAAGACAUUUUUAUUUAAAUAAAUCGAAGUCUACUUAUAAUAUUAAAUAAUACAAUAUUUGUAUUUAUUCAAAAAUAUAACUGGAGGUUCCGAAAUAUUAUUUACAAUUGAAGUUGUUUACAUUCCUACUCACUGCACUUGUUUAUAACCUUCUAAUCAAUCAACGUUUUUGAUUAUUUUUUCAAUGUUAUGCACUCUAUUGUAAAAAUAUUAUGUUUUCAAUGCACACUUUUGUUUAAAAUGCGUCCCUCACCAUAUUUAUAUCUUAAUAAUUUUUUUGAAUAAUUUUUAAGAACUUUUCAAUGCUCAAAUUUUAAAUUUAUGGUUUAUAAAGUUCUGCAAACUAUUUGUAUUUGUGCUGUCUAUCAACGAAUUAGAAAAAUUGUUGACUGAGUUUAUUUCUCAAUUUUUUUGUUCAUUUUAUAGAAUGUAAUAAUUAUUUAUUGUGCUCAUUAGUUCGACUAUGUACUUAAAGGUAGUAUAUACCUAAAGGGAUUAUGUACUUGAAGUAACUGUAUUGUAGUAUAAGUUCUUAUGUACAGGUUCGGCAAGAAACUCUUACAUUUGUGGAAAAAUUAUGCAGAGUUUUAAGGUUUUAAAUAUUUUGUAAACGUUACCAAGUCAUGUGUUUUUCCUGUGUAAUGUAUUUUAUCUACCUGUAUUGUCCAGUCUUUUUUAUAGUAGUAUUUGUAUAAGUUCCUGAAAGCGAUUUAUAUGCUAUAGUGAGGUCCACGUUAUAAUGGCAGUGUUUGAUUAGCAAUGAUGUUGCUAUCCUUGUCUAUCAUUCAACAAAGCGGAUAGCGCUCUCUCUCGCUUUGCCAGAUCGUCUUUUAACAAUGUAGAAUUAAUAAUUAACAAAAUAUUUCAUCUUAAUUAUGAAAAUUUAUCAUGGAAAAAUAUAAUUUCUUGCUUAAUAAAAUAUAAUUGAUUAUUUUCAACGAGAAUGAACAGUUAAUAUUACAUCAAUAAACCUGUAUCAGCUACCGGCAUUGACAAGACAGAGGAUCGGCAACGUUUUUCUCCUAUUUUUCUCCACUGCCAUUAUAACGUGGACCCUACGAAUAUUUCGAAUGAUUUUUCCAUCUCAAACUUGUUUCAGUUUUUUAGACUGUAAUAUUUUUCAAUACUUUGUUUUUCUUAUCACAGAAUUCAACUAUCUAAAUCAAUCUUUUUGAGAUUCAGCCCAAUUUGUCAGUAUUUAUGCUAUGAAUAAGGAAUACUGACAGAAGUGAAUCUCAUUAUAGAGUAUAUAGCUUGGAGAGCAGUCUUGAUAGUUUUUUCAGAUUAGUCUCAUAAAUAUUUUCCAAUAAAUGUUAUUAGUUUCAAUAUACUUUCAACAAGACUGAAACAAACUGAGGUAUAGAUACACAGCGAUACCGGCACAUUUUAUCCACAAUAUUCAAGUUUUUCCCAGCGUUUUUGUUGGAUUAUUCAUAGAACCGUCUAAUUUUAACUUUAUUUGUAAAUUUUACCACACAAUAAAUACCAUAUCUCAUUGUGAA
Nilaparvata lugens (brown planthopper) is the source of this 5187-nucleotide long non-coding RNA. RefSeq lists it as uncharacterized. NCBI's taxonomy places the organism in Eukaryota, Metazoa, Arthropoda, Insecta, Hemiptera, Delphacidae. The record is from RefSeq and is a predicted model, not a curated record. The transcript has 3 exons.